This 443-nucleotide ribosomal RNA is filed under the name uncultured bacterium. RNAcentral's name for it is "partial 16S ribosomal RNA". It matches the Rfam family "Bacterial small subunit ribosomal RNA", at positions 28 to 507 of the family's 1533-position model. The record is from RNAcentral.
GAUGAACGCUGGCGGCAUGCCUAACACAUGCAAGUCGAUCGGUAAGGCUCUUCGGAGUACACGAGAGGCGGACGGCUGAGUAACGCGUAGGAACACACCCUGCAGUGAGGGAUAAGACACCGAAAGGUGUUCUAAUACCGCAUACGGUCUUCGGAUUAAAGCAUUUAUGCGCUGAAGGAGUGGCCUGCGUCAUAUUAGAUAGUUGGUGAGGUAAUGGCUCACCAAGUCGAUGAUGUGUAGCUGGUCUGAGAGGAUGAUCAGCCAGACUGGAACUGAGACACGGUCCAGACUCCUACGGGAGGCAGCAGUGAGGAAUAUUUCACAAUGAGCGAAGGCUUGAUGGAGCAAUGCCGCGUGCAGGAUGAAGGCCCUCGGGUUGUAAACUGCUUUUAUAAGAGAAGAUUAUGACGGUAACUUAUGAAUAAGGGACGGAUAACUACGUG